UACAGAGGGUGCAAGCGUUAAUCGGAAUUACUGGGCGUAAAGCGCACGUAGGCGGUUUUUUAAGUCAGAUGUGAAAGCCCGGGCUCAACCUGGGAAUUGCAUUUGAAACUGGGGAACUAGAGUGUGUGAGAGGGGGGUAGAAUUCCAAGUGUAGCGGUGAAAUGCGUAGAGAUUUGGAGGAAUACCAGUGGCGAAGGCGGCCCCCUGGCACAACACUGACGCUCAGGUGCGAAAGCGUGGGGAGCAAACAGG
Molecule: ribosomal RNA, 252 nt
Filed under: uncultured bacterium
Lineage: Bacteria
Description: partial 16S ribosomal RNA
Rfam family: Bacterial small subunit ribosomal RNA
Source: RNAcentral